AUUGAACGCUGGCGGCAUGCUUUACACAUGCAAGUCGAACGGUAACAGGCCUUCGGGUGCUGACGAGUGGCGAACGGGUGAGUAAUGCAUCGGAACGUGCCCAAUCGUGGGGGAUAACGCAGCGAAAGUUGCGCUAAUACCGCAUAAGCCCUGAGGGGGAAAGCGGGGGACCGAAAGGCCUCGUGCGAAUGGAGCGGCCGAUGUCAGAUUAGCUAGUUGGUGGGGUAAAGGCUCACCAAGGCGACGAUCUGUAGCGGGUCUGAGAGGAUGAUCCGCCACACUGGAACUGAGACACGGCCCAGACUCCUACGGGAGGCAGCAGUGGGGAAUUUUGGACAAUGGGCGCAAGCCUGAUCCAGCCAUGCCGCGUGCGGGACGAAGGCCUCGG
RNAcentral lists this ribosomal RNA (388 nucleotides) under uncultured bacterium. RNAcentral describes it as "bacterial SSU rRNA". It matches the Rfam family "Bacterial small subunit ribosomal RNA", at positions 29 to 420 of the family's 1533-position model. The record is from RNAcentral.